GAUGAACGCUGGCGGCGUGCCUAAUACAUGCAAGUCGAGCGAACAGACGAGGAGCUUGCUCCUCUGACGUUAGCGGCGGACGGGUGAGUAACACGUGGAUAACCUACCUAUCAGACUGGGAUAACUUCGGGAAACCGGAGCUAAUACCGGAUAAUAUAUUGAACCGCAUGGUUCAAUAGUGAAAGACGGUUUUGCUGUCACUUAUAGAUGGAUCCGCGCCGCAUUAGCUAGUUGUUAAGGUAACGGCUUACCAAGGCAACGAUGCGUAGCCGACCUGAGAGGGUGAUCGGCCACACUGGAACUGAGACACGGUCCAGACUCCUACGGGAGGCAGCAGUAGGGAAUCUGCCGCAAUGGGCGAAAGCCUGACGGAGCAACGCCGCGUGAGUGAUGAAGGUCUUCGGAUCGUAAAACUAUGUUAUUAGGGAAGAACAAAUGUGUAAGUAACUAUGCACGUCUUGACGGUACCUAAUCAGAAAGCCACGGCUAACUACGUG
This 497-nucleotide ribosomal RNA is filed under the name uncultured bacterium. RNAcentral describes it as "partial 16S ribosomal RNA". It matches the Rfam family "Bacterial small subunit ribosomal RNA", at positions 28 to 507 of the family's 1533-position model. The record is from RNAcentral.